This is a non-coding RNA of Paramuricea clavata, 680 nucleotides long. NCBI's taxonomy places the organism in Eukaryota, Metazoa, Cnidaria, Anthozoa, Malacalcyonacea, Plexauridae. The record is from the annotation of a GenBank genome assembly.
UGGUUCUGCUGGCCCCAGAAUGAUCUUGCAUCACAUCUCCAUAAGAAAUGAACUCGAGAGUCUCAGUGAUAGCAAAAUAAAUAAGAUUAUGUUCUUCAAAUUUUGAAGUUAGUGAAUAUGAAGCUUCGUUUUGUACUCCACCGCGUAUAUUUGUCGAAAGCUUAGCCAAAUGAAUAUACGUGGUGUUUCCACAAAACUGAAAAGCUUACUUGGAUUGGAUUUUACACAAUCCUUUCUGACAUACAAGCAAUAUAUAUUAAUUCAUAAAUGCGAUAGUAUAUAAAAAAUAUAUUAAAUGAUACGUGAUAUAUGUUAAUUUGCGGUGGACGCCUUCACUAGCACGAAGACAAUUUGCCGUAGUCCUCCGUUCCAGCGAAGCAAUCGUCGACCUUCCGAAAAGUUCGUCUAACUUUCGGUAAUUGUAUCCUGUCCAUAAUUCCGUCGAUAUUCGUAUUAAUUUCGGUUGCCACUCGUCCAGAAAAUAUUCGUUAUACCGUCGCAUCGAUCCGGCUGGCAAUAAAAUGUUUUUUCGGAAACUGUUUCGGGACGAAUAGCGUUGUUCAUGCCGAGAAUUCGUAUUAAUUUCGGUCGCCAUCCGUCCAGAACAUAUUCGUGAUAUUAUACAGGUACACAUAAAUAUGCGCAUAUAGAUGAUUCUGCUGGCCACAGAAUGAUCCUGC